GUCACCCAGUUGUGCCCGACUCUUAGCGACCCCAUGGACUGCAGCCCACUAGGCUCCUCCAUCCAUGGGACUUUCCAGGCAAGAGUACUAGCACCUGUUUUAUUUUUCUUCAACAACUUUUAUUAUAUACUGAUUUAUUUGUCAUCAGUCAUCCAUGGGAAUAUAAACACCUUUAACAAAGAGCUUGUCUUUUAAAAUUUUUGUUUAUUUUUAAUUGAAGGAUAAUUACAAUAUUGUGUUGGUUUCUGCCAUACAUCAACAUGGCUUAGCCAUAGGUAUACAUAUAUCCCCUCUCUCUUGAGCCUCCUUCCCACCUCACACCCAAUCCCACCCCUCUAGGUUGUCACAGAGUCUUCUUGACCACUGUAUCCUUGAGGGUCUGCAACAGAUCCUGGCCCACAGCAGGCACUCAAGAAUCAGGACAAAUUGUGGCGCAACAACCCCCAGCCCACCUGAGACAUCUGCCAUUCCACCCUGGUUCCCUUGCCUUUCUCUGUCCCCUUUGCCUUCCUCUCUGCUUCUCUGUGCAUCUCUCUGUCUCUGCUCCAGUCACUCUCCUCUCUGCCUGUCUCCCUCCUCUUCCUCUUUUUGUAAUCUCUUUCCUAUUCUCUCCCUUCCUCUUGCUUCCCUCGGUUUCCUCCAUGGGUCUUGGACCUAGCAGGUCCCUCUUAUCCCUUCAGCCCUUACCUUCUGCUUGGAUGUUUAUUGAGGAGGAUGCAGGGCCCAGAGAGAGCUCCAGAUAAGAAGGACUGAGCCAAUGACAUCUGUGGAUCUGUCAGAUGGGUACAGCUCUAACUUUGGACACGCAUUUGGUUGAGGGAUCCUUGAAGGUAAAGAUUCACUUGGAGUUGGUCAAGUCGGCAUUUUGGAAACAAUCAAGUAGAUCUGAAGCCUUGUUCCAAGCAGGGAGAUGAGAGUUGGGGAGGGAGAAAACCGGACCAGAGCCCUGCCUUCCAGAACUUCCUGGUCUCAUUAGCCAAGGAGGUAAGGGGCAUACAAGGUCUUCUAGGAAAUAGUAGGGGAACAAAGAUAGGCAGAAGGAGAGGUGCAGGCAGAGAGCUCUAGAAGGGAUCAGUCAUUGUUAACUUUGGGGCGAGCGGUCUGUGUGUGAACAGUAGCAGCCAGAUAGAAGAGGAGAUCCGGGCUCCAGCUGCAAAAGGGGAAAGCAGUUCACCUGUAACUGCAAGGCCACCAGGGCCACCAGGGCCAUGCUUGGCUGGGGAGCCUCUCCUGUCAAACCCUGUCCUGGCUCCAUCCCUGUCCCCACCAGGACCGAGGGAAGAGCCUGAUUCAAAGCCUGCAGAUCCCCCAGAGCACAGAACGAGCUGAAAAUCUUGAUGAGUAAAACCUGCAGCAUCUCACCGCUUGCCCUGCUGCUCGGGAAGUCAUUCACAUUAGCAUGCGAGGCUCUGGGACCUAAGUGGGAGGCAGGAACCAACUGAGGCUUGGAGAGAAAUAAGAUGGUUCAUUUGUGCCCCUGAAGACGCCCCAGGCAGAUGCUGAUCUAUCAGCAUUUAUACUGAAUGCAAUACAGAAUUCCUUUUGUGACCGCUUUUAUAAAUAGAAUUGGCCAGACUCUUUCUGGGAAAUGCCUGGGUGAUUCACGUGACCUUCGAAGAUAGGUGCUUGUUGUUCUGUAACACUGGAGGGGCAGAGAAGGGAGAGGCUCUUUUCCUGAGCCCUGGCAUUUAGAAGUGUGGUUUAGAGAAGAAAAAAAGGAGAGUGGCAGUAAUGAGUAAAGUGAGUAAAUGUUUCCCCAAGAGGAUGAUUCUUGGAGCAAAAAGGGAUCCGAGAGCGGAAGGGGCUGGCAGAGAGGGGUGCAUGGGUGUUUGCUGGAGCACCUCCCAAGUUUCUUCAGGAAGAAUGCUCCUACUUCAUGGUCCUGAUGACUUCUGUCCCUUCUCCCCAACUCGGCACAGCAUACCCACCUACAUGGAGUUUCGUUCAGAUAAGAGUUUCAAGAAAUUGAGUCAUCUCCCUCUGCAAGGGAGACACCCCUACAAGUCGAGAUUCCCUUAUAUAGGAAAUCGUCUUACACAACAGGAGAUCAAAGUAGAUCAAUAUACUCUUGAGCACAUGCAUGAAAGGACCUGUAUGUAGGUCAGGGGUCCCCGACCUCUGGGAUCUAAUGCCUGAUGAUCUGAAGUGGAGCUGAUGUAAAAAUAAUAGAAAUAAAGUGCACACAAAUGCAAUACACUUGAAUCAUCCUGAAACCAUCCCUCUGCCCUGGUCCCUGGAAAAAUUGUCUUCUAUGAAGUCCAUUUCUGGUGCCAAAAAUGUUGGGGACCACUGCAUAGGAGAUGAGCAGUGAAAAUCAGCCUCUGUUUUCAAGGGGGUCUAGUUUGGUUGUAGAAAAAUACAACAGUCAGCGAUAUUAAAUACUUUCCAGGGGCCACAUCCAGUGGGGACUGUGUUCCCUCUGAAUGUAUCAUUUGUAAUAUUUAAAGCCAUCAGAAGUGUUUCCCAGCAAACUUUUAAUUCCUAAGCAGAGUAGACUGGGAAAAUAUUCCUGUCCAGCCUUCCUUCCACCUCCACUUUUACUCGGAUGCUUUUUUUCCUUCUAAAAGUACAAGAGUGCUACCUGUGUGAGCUGGCCAGGUCACUCUGCAAUCAGAGAAUCCGGGGGCUGGCUGGGUCCCAGCAACAUCACGCCCAGAUAUGCAUGCCUUCCUCAUUUUUCCGCCUUUCUUGGGAAGUAGAGGUGAGCUUGCCUGGCAUGACUCAGGCCAAGGAAGUGAAAAGCCCAGACAUGGUGGUUCACCAAUUCCUCCCAAGCUUACUAACCCAGCAGUGUCUGCAGACACUGAGAUCUCAAGGCAGUAACUGGGAGUGUCUGGGGACCAGUUGUCUAAGACCUGAAGGUGACAAAUCCUACCUGAUGAUCUGGUCUUCACUGCAAAGUGCCAAUGGCAUUUUUUUCUUCUUUUUCCUUCUUUAACUUUUUAGGGAAUUUUUCAGCAGGGUUAUAGAAAAUGGACUCCUCGAUACUCUUCCCAAGCUCAGAUUCAAAUCAGGAUUUUUCCACACCCUCCCAGUUCCCUGCGUGAUAAUAAAUUAUGCAUAAUAAAUAAAUGCUAUGACCAAAUAUUAUUAUAUCAUGGAUCAGUGUUCAGAGUGGGCCUUGUAGAAACAGCACAUAAAAGAGCCCUGGACAUCCUGGUUGCCAUUCUGGGCACACGGCAAUAUUCAGUUUAGGCCUUGGCCUUCUGCCCUGGAGGGAGGCUGGGCUCUAAGUUUCCCUGUUGUGAAGAUGAUCCCAGAGUCCUCACACAAGGGCCCUACAUCCACUCAUGAACCUGCAUGCAGACUGCUCCUGUAAUGGAGAUGAAUGAGAUGUUGGGAUGCCUCAACUAUUGUUCAUUGGUGGCUUCCGUUGGACAGAAAGUCCAAGAGCCAUUCUCUCUCAAGUGGGUGUCUCUGGAAAGCUGCUUCCAAACUUCCCUGGAGUGAGGGAACUCCACUGAGUUUAAUGUUUACUGAGAACCUACUUGUACCAAGCCUGUGCCAGGCACCUUAGGAAAAGGAUAACUGUGCCACGGUUUCUGUUAUUGGUGGCCUCAGAUGACAUGCAGCCCGCAGAGGUCAUUAUUGACCCAAAGACACAAUAACCCAAACCCACUGCUCGAAAAAAGUCUUCACCCGGGUCUGCUCUUGGAUUUGGGCUUGAUGAGGUCCUAAAGGAGACACUUUUUCUCUGAUGUUCCCUCUUUCUAACACUUUCUACCCAUUGUGGAUUUAAAUGGGCUCAUGAUGAAGGGGAUAAAAUUCCAAGUGCAUGGACCAGACAGGGUGCUGUGUAGACAGAUGCUCCGUUCCCACUGGGGACCUCUAGGAGACGGUCUAGACCUGUCCUGGUGUUGACUCCCCCUAGCCUGGGUGAGGAAGCUGAAGGACCCGUCGGUCAAUUCCCUCUGCCACUCACUGGUGGAGACUUACCAGCCCCUGGUAAGUCUGCCCCACCUGUAGGCCAGAGCUCCCACAGACAGAGAGAUCCAGAGUUGCAGAAUGUGCAGGGGUACGGAAAGGGGAGUGGGAGUGGAGCUGGACAAGGCCUCAUAGCUUCUGUCUGCCUUGUCCCCUGCAGCCCCAGCUGAGCAGGGGUGUGCACACUCAGAGGAAAGCCAGCAGGAUGCGUGGGAAUGGUGAAAUGGAUACCCAGCCCCCAGGAGAGGAAUGUAACCCCAGGGGUGUGGGCCUCUGUCUCCACCAGGCAGUAGGGGGGUGGGAGCCAGGGGAAUGGAGGUGUUGUUUCAUACAGCUCUCCCUGGAGAGCAGUUUCCUUCUGAAAACACACAAGGGCUCAGGGAAACAGGUUUGAAUUAACCUUACACAUGGAGCCUUCACAGCCUGAGGAUGGGCUCAGCGUGUCCCCUGUACAAUUUCCACAGCAUCUUCCCAUGUAAGGGGCAGGCCCUGGGGAGAAAUGUCUUGUGAUUCUUGUUUUCCAUCCUCACAUAAAUGUUCUCUGAGAUCAGGAUCUGACCUCAGGCUUUCUUGAACCUGCUCCAUAUUCCAAGUAUCAAGGAGGGGCCGGGGUUCACACCUACCUGGCAGGUGGAAGUUUCUGUGACCUAGAAAUGGGUCUGUGUGAGGCCCGUUUGGCUCUAAUGAGCCAGCCUUCUGGGAACGUCAUGAGCCUUUCUGCUUGUCCCACGCCACCAGGCUCCAUGGGGCCUAGGAAACCCCUGAGACUGCAAUGGGGCUGAGACUUGGCCCAGCUUCACAUUGGAAGUGAUGCUGCCUGGAUUCUGGGUGCCAAGGCACUUGUUAGUAUUUCUGAGCUGUUCAUUAGCACUGGGGGAGAUCAGCCCAAACUCUGGUGGGAAGGAAGGGCUGGGGAAGGAGUCUGCCUUCACCCUGAGUGUGUGUUCGUCUAAACAUUUGGCCUGCGGUCAGCCGCCCUCCAGUUGGUGGAGUCUAUGAUGCUGCUCAGCAUGACCUGGGGCUGCUGGGUCACAGUAGCCUAGGGUAGAAGUGGCCUUAGGACGAGCAGGCAGCCAUCGCCUCCCCACUUCUCCCAGGUUCUGAAUGCAGCAAAGAGAACUUCCCAGUGUAAACCCCCUUCAUCCCACACUAGAACAGACUGAAGCUCCCUGAGGUGUACCGUCAGCCCCCUCUUUUCAACAGCAUCAUAGCUGAACUGUCUAAUCAGGAGACAGUGGAGGGCAGGAAAGGGUACAUAUCCCUUCCUGACCUAGCACUCACUCUGCGUUGGGCUCCCCUCCUGAGCAGGCAGAGCCCAGGGACUUUUCUGAGGUGAGUCUCCUCGAGCUUGGAGAUAGGGAGUGGGUACUUCCAGCCUGGCCUGUGGAGCCCAUGGUGCUCCUCCUCACUGGUCUUUUGCAGGUCAACGAAGGGUCAUUCUCCAAAGAUCCUGCCUGAGAAGAAAGCAGUUAAGCUAGACCCCAAGUCCUGUAUCAGAUCAAGGGGUCCACACUCGCCUCAACGGAGCCAGUUUCUUCCUCCUCUGUGGGGAGCUCAGGCCUCUCAGCCUGCUUGGACUGCCUGCCAGCAGUUGGCUUUUAAGGGGUUGAGAACCUUCUGGAGAACCUGUUCCAAGGAGAGAGCCAGGGAGAGUGAGCCACACCUGGAACACAGCUUCAGGUGUUGGAGAUCGGGUGUGGUUCCUACUUCAGCCCAGUGGAAUCUAACCUCAGCCUGGCCCCUUGGAUGUAUUAUCUGGGUCACAGGAAGAGGAAGGGCAUUAUUAUUUUAAUUCCAGUUUUGUUUCACUCACUUAGUGGCUUUGGGCAAGCUACCUAAGCCCCCCUGUGCUGGGCUCCUUGGCUGUCCACUGGUGAUAUGUAGUUCCUGGCUCAGAGGUUGCUAUGAAGUCAAAUGAGUGAAGGCUUUCAUACUGCUUAGAACACCGUACAUGUCAAGUGUUUGUCAAAGUGAGGAAACCCAAGGGCACAAGAGCACUACUUGGGGACCCUUAAGCUUGGGGCGCAUGGAGGGGAAAGGACCACGUCCUUUCCACAGACCACCUGAGGCUCCAGCUUAGCAGAGAGCAGGGCAUAGCACAGUGACUGCUGCGCCCAGGGAUCUCCACAGGCAGGCGGGGGUUGUCUCGGGAUGCAGAGGCCUCUGGGACUGGGCGGUGGGUGCCGGGAGAGAGCGUUGUACGGGAGGAUAAGAGGCAGGUACAAGUGGAUUCACAUUACCAUUAAUGUGGCUUCACCUACACUCACAGUGCUGACUGGUAAGGCACCGGUAUAAGCCCCAGCAGGGCUCCUCCCAGAGUCAAAGUCAGUUUCUUAGCAGCUGGAAGUGUGGAGAAGGUAAGGGCUGUGUCCUGGGAGGUGCCUAGAGCUCAAAGGUCUGGUUUCUCCCCACCAGCUGUUCUUUCAUAUUUAGAAAAACUCUCCAGUUCUUUCCCAUUUCUACUUUGAUAGGGCUGGGUUUUUUCAUCUCAUUACACCCAAAACCUAAAGACUUUGCUCACAGAGAACUUUGUUUCAAGUCCUCUGUCUUAGUAUUAGGGUGGUUGUUAAAAUUAACCCAGGCUUCUAGAAAAGGCAUCACCAAAAGAUGGGAGUUUUUGAAAAGCUGCUGGUUUGGAAAGUUGAAUGGGAAAGGGAGGUCCACACUAUACUUGACAACAUGAGCCUUGGGAACCUCCUUCUAAGGAAGGGCCAGACCGCUCACUCAAGGCUUCAUAAGAGGCUUCAGAACUGGCCCUGCCAGCUCCGCCAACCUCUCUGGGCUCUCCUGUACAUCGUAAGUGGAAAACCAGGGGAAGGAGGGAGAGGACAAGUUUUCACCAGGGUAGUGUUCAUGGGAAAAUGUUACUUCCUCCCCAAAGCUACAUGGAAAGUUGGAUGUGCUGGAAGACUGAGGGGGCCAUCGGAGUGAAGCAGAAUGUCGUGAGACUGAGGAAUUUCUUGAGGGGGCCAGCACAUGUCCCUGGAGUGUGGAGACCAAAAACUGAAGGUUUCUGCAGGCAGAGGCCUGCAGGCUCAGCUUGGGUAGAGGUGGGAGGGGCCUGUCUGGUAGCUGCUUGGCCAUGAGCCAAUAGGCCAAGUGAGCACAGUAAAGGCACAGAACAAUGUUAGCCAAAAGGAAAUACAGCUGCUCCAAGGGGGAACUCAGUCCACAGAUGUGGCUGGAAUAGGCCAGAGAAAAUCUUACCCCCACCCAUGCUGAGAUCAGAGCACCAGCCAAAAUAUCCAGUAUCAUGUGGACCGUGACUAAGCCAAGAUGAGACUAGCAACAUUUUCCCAGCACAGACAGGUGACCUGUCAUUUUAGAUUGCCCUGAUUCCCUGUUCCUCCUCUUCCCUGUACCCCUCUAGCUUAUAGCAACUUGACCCUGAAAGGGAUGGUGAAGAAAGAGAGGACGUACCACACACCAAACUACUUCAAGUCCUGAGCUGAAGCCUGACUUCCCCAUCGAGACAGGAAAGGGGAGAUUUAAACUCAUCUGAGGUUGGAGUUUUGACCCAGACUGUGUUAGCUACUGAGUGUGAUCAGUGGGUUAUGGAACCUCCAUCAAUACAGGAUGGGUAGAGAUGGGGACUGGAGAAAAGAACACCUUCUGAGACUCGCUCUCCACUUAGUUGAGAUUCCUCGCUGUUUUUGCAGCCAGGAAUUCUAGGAACUUUAAGAAUAUAUUUUCUUCUUGAAACACAAGAUCUGGAGAAACCUAGAAAAUGAAGCAAGAGUGAUCUCCUUGUUUGAAGCAGAGAUCUGAAAACUCUGAAGCAUUCAUCAAUGCUUAGAGAGCUGUUUCUUGAAGAUUUGUAACUACACAGUGUAUUAGUUUCCUCUGGCUGCUGCAACUAAUUACCACAGUCUUGAUGCUAGCCUAGGGUGAUCCAUGUCAGACCUCUUACCUACAGAACUUCAGGAUGAUAAAGCUGUGCUGUGUCAACCUCUAUGCACGCAUGCUAAGUCAUUUCAGUUGUGUCUGACUCUCUGUGACCCUAUGGACCAUAGCCCACCAGGCUCCUCUGUCCAUGGGAUUCUUAUGGCAACCCACUCCAGUAUUCUUGCCUGGAGA
Long non-coding RNA from Bubalus bubalis (water buffalo), 8001 nucleotides. RefSeq lists it as uncharacterized. The record is from RefSeq and is a predicted model, not a curated record. The transcript is spliced from 3 exons. NCBI's taxonomy places the organism in Eukaryota, Metazoa, Chordata, Mammalia, Artiodactyla, Bovidae.